GUGUGAACACAGUAAACACCGAAAUGCAUUGGGAACUUAUUGAGGAAACAUCAAACGGCAUUUUGUACAGCGAAUCGCUGAACGACUAUUUUAUAGACGAGAAAGAUGAAAGAAGUCCUGUUGAAAUCAGUGCCGUAAUUCACCACCAUAUGGCUAUUAUUCGUUCAGCUAUGGAAGUUGAUGCUGAACUACAGAGGAUGGAGGAUUUGGAAAUGAAUUCGCCAGAAUACAUCAACAGCAGCAGUGGCCGUUGGGCUGUGACAACUAAGAAGAACACAUUUUAAAUGAAUUCGGCAGAUGAAAUCAACGGAAGCAGUGGCUGUUGGGCUGUGAAAACUAACAAGAACACAUUUUAAAUGAAUUCGGCAGGUAAAUAUUAUUGUUGAGACUUCUAUUCAUCGACAUCUAACCAUUAGCUGAUGCGUUAUUUCCA
Long non-coding RNA from Daphnia magna, 433 nucleotides. RefSeq lists it as uncharacterized. The transcript has 3 exons. The record is from RefSeq and is a predicted model, not a curated record. NCBI's taxonomy places the organism in Eukaryota, Metazoa, Arthropoda, Branchiopoda, Diplostraca, Daphniidae.